CAGCGCCGCGGUAAUACGUAGGUGGCAAGCGUUGUCCGGAAUUAUUGGGCGUAAAGGGCUCGCAGGCGGUUUCUUAAGUCUGAUGUGAAAGCCCCCGGCUCAACCGGGGAGGGUCAUUGGAAACUGGGAAACUUGAGUGCAGAAGAGGAGAGUGGAAUUCCACGUGUGGCGGUGAAAUGCGUAGAGAUGUGGAGGAACACCAGUGGCGAAGGCGACUCUCUGGUCUGUAACUGACGCUGAGGAGCGAAAGCGUGGGGAGCGAACAGGAUUAGAUACCCCUGUAGUCCCUGUCUCUUAUACC
This 301-nucleotide ribosomal RNA is filed under the name uncultured bacterium. Its description in RNAcentral is "partial 16S ribosomal RNA". It matches the Rfam family "Bacterial small subunit ribosomal RNA", at positions 509 to 808 of the family's 1533-position model. The record is from RNAcentral.